Molecule: long non-coding RNA, 532 nt
Organism: Sebastes umbrosus (honeycomb rockfish)
Lineage: Eukaryota; Metazoa; Chordata; Actinopteri; Perciformes; Sebastidae
Exons: 3
Source: RefSeq, a predicted model, not a curated record
UCCACUCACAGCAGGAAACAGGUGUGAGACACCGUUAAUGGAACCGUGUACAUACAGUAGGAUUCUUAUUUUGAUGAAUAGCACACUAAUAUAAAGUUAGAAAAGUGUGUUUAUUUAUUUGAAUUUAACAUGAUUGCCUUUUUCAUUAUUUCUUUACUUGGAAUUUUCAUUAUUUAUUUUUUCUCAUUUUUCAUUCCUUCCUUUUUUUUAAUUUAAUUUUAUUUCACAUUUUCCUCCAUGCUGGUUCUUUUACUUGUCAUGUGUUGCUUGAAAAAACAUUCCAUAUGUUUGCAUUAACAAGUAGUUUACACAAAAGGUUACAGGUGUAAUGACAGGAGCACAAUUGUGUGAUUGACGUCUGUGUUUAUAGUAUUCACUUAGUAUAUAUAGUAUGUCACUUUGUGAGCCAAAAGAACACCUGUGGAAUCAAUCUUGGUCUUGUUUUUAAUCAUGAAGCCCCUAUAUUAAGGGUUUCUUUUAAACUUUUGUAAUUUAAAAAGCAACCUUAAUACUAGUGGCUCCAUGAUGAAAA